Molecule: long non-coding RNA, 8485 nt
Organism: Felis catus (domestic cat)
Lineage: Eukaryota; Metazoa; Chordata; Mammalia; Carnivora; Felidae
Exons: 4
Source: RefSeq, a predicted model, not a curated record
CUGCUAUUGGUAAAGAUUUGCCCCCGGUGGGUGGUCUGGGAGAUUUAACCAUGCCCCGACUGGGCGGGCUCCACAGCCUGUGGUGUCUUCUAACUUCCAAAUGUGGCUCAGUGUUUGACUGUUAGAUCCAUCCUCCAAAGUUGAAUCAGAGGGGUCAGGGAAGUCAUUUGGAAUGUUUUGUUCCAAAUCCCUGCUGUUGUUACUAAGCAUAGAUGCAAACGCAGUGAGUUGGCCUCAAUGCUUACACCAUGGUGAAUGGGGUAAGUGGGAUAAUGCCAAGGAUGGUUACCCACUGAUCACUUUCCUGGAGACUUGAAAUUAGCUUCAUGCUCCCCCAUGUUCCACCUCACCUUCCCUUGGGGAUGCCCUGGACCCAGUGUCAUCUGAGCCCAGAGAGAGUAUGUCCACAUCUUUAGGAACCUAUCCUUUUUGUAUGUAUUUAUGUGGGCCACCGUCUGUGCCCUUGCAUCAUUAGCUAAUACUCCUGAGAUAAAAAUAUCUCAGAAAUCAAAUCACUGUUCUUCAGCUGCACAAAUAACUUGGUGGAGAUAACCCUGGAAAAAAUGACCAUUUUUUUUAAAGGAAGAAAAACAGCAUGUUAAGAACUAAUAGAACAAAUGUUUGGAGAUGUUUUGUCUUGUAAUAUGUGUGCAUCACACAAGGUGGCAGAAUAAGCAUAAGGUGAUCCUCCAGCAUGAGGCUGGACCCUGCAUUGUUUUCAAGGCAGGGACGAGAUUGCUAACCCCUACCUUUGCAGCCUCAGCCACAGCUGCUAGCUGGUCCUUUCUGUGUGUGCUCACACAUUUGCGUUUAAGUAGAGUGUGGCACAUAGUUUAGUAAUCUGCCAGCACUCAAAUCUUUGCUUUCAAUGAGAAACUGUGUUAAAUGAUUAGACUUCAUUGGUUUCUUGAAAAUAUGCACUGACUCCUGGCUCCGAUUUAUAUGCCUUCUUUUGAUUGAAAACACAAGCUUCUCUCCAUCAGCCUUCUAGUUCAACUCAAGGGUAUUGUAAAAGCUGAGCCACAAGACAGUUUUAUAACCUAUGAUAUCAAAUUUUACUUUUUUCUUCUCCAUAUAGGAUGUGAAUGUGAAGUUAAAUAUUUAUUAAAUAUUUGUCAAGCUUAUUAACUCUGUUUGUUUUUCUCAAUAAGGAGAAUUAAAAGUCCCUGGAUUUAUUUUUAAAUUUAAUUGAAUGGUUAAUACUUAAUUUUAAUCAUUAUUAAUUCAAUUUUUAAUGUAGUCAUUUUUAUGGCUGAAUUAAAUAUUUUACUUGGGCUUGUGAACAAGACCAUUAGCAAUGGACUACAUAGGAUUGUCACACCACACAUCAGAAAUACUAUAGAACAAAUUUAUUUGUACUAUUAACCUAUUCAGUACAAAGAAAUGGGUCAUCUCUCAAAGUUACGGUGAAAACAUUUGAUCUCCAGAAUAAAAAAAUGAAGCUAUGCAUAUGCCUCAUUUCUCAUAUAAAAUUCACAUGUCUUAGCCUCAGAUGUUUUGACUGGUACAAUUUAUUUUCCCAAGUUCUUUACAGAAAAUAUUAGGAUGGACUAUGAGAGGGUAAAAUGCUCAUCCUUAAUAAAAUGGGUCAUGUAAUUUACCAAGCUAGACCACCAGCUAUGCAGAUGACCAUGGCUGGCCAUUCUUGGUCACCUCUUCUCCUCUCCUAUGAUCACUUUUCCAAAGACUUUCAAUACUUCUGGAAACCCUGUUGUUUCCUGCAUCUGUGUCUCUCCUUUCCUCUAGCUUAAAUUAUAAUUCUUAUUUCUAGGCCUCUUGCAUUUGGCUGCCUCUUGUCAUUUCCUCUUCUACCUAACACCCACCAGCAAGUGCUAGAGCUAGGUCAUACUGUCUUGGGAGAGUUGAUUUUGCACAUCUUUUCUCAAUUCCGAGGUUAGCGACAUCAGGUUGACAGCUUGAAAUUGGCCCUCGUGGGAGAGUUUACACCACAGAAAUAAGCAAACACUACAAAAAAUCAGGGCUCUUAUUCCUCUCCUCCUAAGCCAGUUUAUCUGCACACCACAGAGUAAUACCAUGGAUUCAAAUGAAUAACCUCAGCUCCACGUUGAUUCUGUCAUUUCCCCCCAUUGUCCAAAAUUUGUAGCUAAUGGCUCAUUAUAUGAAGUUACUCUUCUGUGUGUUAACUUCCAUAACUGGGAAAUAAAUCUUCAGUGUGCUAAUUUCCAUAACUGGGAAAUAAAUACAUUUAUUCACAGGACUGAUAGUAUUCUUAUCCAUGUUUAGGAAUGACAGAUGACUGUUUCACAGCUGGUGUGUCAUUUGAACCAUUGUGCAUGCAGCAGCUGGGCAGAGAUUUAAAUGGAGAGUGUCUCCACCUAAAGACCAUGCCAAAAAUGAACUCCAAAUUGUCUAAAUACCACACUGAGUUUAGUGAAAUGUCUAGCACUUCUUCAAUUUGCUGGCUACUCCUGGAGAGCUUGGUACAGUAGACCAGUACAGAGUAUUAUAAAGUCACAAAUUUGAUUUUUGAGAGAUCCUACAAGCUACCUUAUUUUGAGGUCUUUUGUCACCCUAGAAAAGAAAUGCUCUGACUUCCUACACUAAAUUUGAAUACUGUCACCUGGAAGUCAAACAAUCUGGCAGAGUAUUCAGGUAUUCAAGUGUUUAAGAGUAUUCGAGUAUUCAAAGUGUUUAAAAAUCCACAAAAAUUCAGAACAUUCUUCAGUCUGAACUUAAAGCCCUCAACAAUAUUUUCCCAACCAACUACCCAAUUUGUUGUUUUCUGUGAUUUCCAGUCGUCCUAUCUUUGUCCAUUCUGUAUCUUCUGCCUGAAGUUUCCUUUAUCCUCUCUUAUUAUAAACUUUAUCCUGCUUCAAGAUUGAUGUGGAAUUCCAGCCUUUCCCUAAAGCUUAUCCUAGUCUCCCCACUUGGAAAUAAGUACAUUCUCUAUAGAAUACUUACCCCAUUUUCUAUACAAAUGUUAGGUUACUUAUUAAUUUUUACUUUAUAUUUACACACGUGUUUUAUCUUUUCUAUUAGAUUUGACACCAGGGGUCAUGUGUGCCUGUUAUUAAGCUAUUGAAGCUUAGCUCCAAAUUCAUCCUUCUUCCUCUGCUCUGUGAUGCUGGGGCCGAUGCUCUGCAAACCAUACAUCUCUCUAUCAGCCCUUUCCUGUUGGGUUCCUCAUUAGUGGCGGAGAGGAGAGACUGGAAGGCAGUGACUGAGAACGGCCAUGCUCCUUCCUAUUUGCUUGAAGUUUCUGACAGUAACGUCCUAGGGCAGGCACUUGCUUCCAGCCCCCAGCUUCUUUGCAAAUUCCACAACCCACCUCACGCUGUCCCUCAGAGGCAGCAGCAACAUCUGCCCCCAGCCUUCUUCUCAGGCGCCUCAACUCUGGCCCCGUGAGGCUCCACCUCCAGUUUCCUGAGCAGCCAUUGAGUGGUGUCCCCUACUCAGACGUUGGAGUCCGAUCCAUGGAGGGCCUCCUCUAGUUUCUAGGUUUUCCCCUGUGUUUCUCCAGCUCAAGGGUGCACUGCUUCCUACGAUUAUGAACUCUAUGCCACCUCAGUCUUCCCUCUAAAAGGCUUAUUGAGUCCUCCAACAACUGUGUCACGGAUCCCCUAUAAGAAAUACCCUGUUGAAAUACCCAGUGUGGUUGCUGUGCUCCUGGCUGGACCAUGAUUACUUCACAAUGACUGAUCCAUCUGUGUUUCCUCCUUUGCCCAGUGGCCCAACUCAAUUCUUAACAAGACGGUGUGGUGUGAGCACAGUAAUUACUUAGUAUUUAAAUAUUAGUUGAAUGAAUGAAUAUUUAUUAAGAUAAAAGAUCCUGCUAUAUUUCAUUAUUUUGUCUUUUCUCUUCCAUUUUCAUGAUUACUAUGCUCAAAUAGGGGCUUUAGUUAACAUUCAUGGCCAUUAUUUGGUUGGAUCAGGAAACAUUUCCUUGGAGUUUAUGGAAUGGCUUAAAAUGCAUGACUUGUCACUAUGCUUUACAAGCAGUAGAAAACACCAUCUGCAUUACACAGUGCCCCUCUGUGUUGGCCACUCUUCUACUACAGACUCUGGGGAAGUUUUCCGUACUGAGAAAGGUACAACUUCCCUCAUGUGUAUUGGUAACCAAAACAGACAUGAUUUAUGAUGUGUGCAUCGAGAAGGAGAAGCGACUAGCCACACUUUUGCUCUCUCCUAAAAAUUGGUAAGGAUAGUUUUGAGGAUAUGAUUUAAGGGCAGAUUGUGGAGAAAACAGCUGCUCUACAGGCAUAUGAAUAAUUGUGAUUUUAACCAGAGUAAACUUUGCAGGAGGCUGAGGCAUUAUCCAUUACAGUAGAAGAUAAAAAGAGUGCUGGGGGGAAUGUAGAACUUGACCAACUGGGUAAUCGGCAAGGAUGUGAUUUCUAGACUGGAUUAUGACAAAUGCUCAAGUCUGGAUAUGUGGUGCACCCACAGGAAUCUAGUAAAGCAGGGGCACACCUAUAGAUCUCUUCCUCACCGCUUUUUAGUGCUUACUGUCAACUUAAGCAGCUGAUCUCAUUAGAGUGUCUUUGAGAAAACUCCUUGAAUACAGGUGCGAAAUUGGUAGUUACUGCAAUGGUAGUAGAGUGAAUGUUUUUUUCUCUGAGUGUUUUACGGAUUUUGAUCAUUGUUAGCAUACAAAGCCAGUACUCUAGUGAAUAAACCGCAAGCGUCAUUAACCAGGCAAAGGAGGCGAGCCACACCCUAAUGUCCUUUGUCCCCCCCUAGGCUGUGUCAUUUGGGAAUCAUCUGAAAAUAAUUCCUCACCAAAAAUGUGAGUUUGCUUAAUAUACGCUUUGCUAAAUAUAAAUAGCUUAAAGGUAAGUAAGUUGCAGUUCAGCAGCACUGAGGACCUUUUCCUAAAACUGCAAUCUAAUCUUGAACACCUAUAUCACAGACUUUGGAUUUGGAUCAUUUUUAUAACCAACCCAGAAUACCAGGAAACUUCAAAAAUAUAUACCCUUGCCCUCUAAAAAGGAUAAAGAAAAUGUAUUCUGAAUUGGAACAAUCAAGUGGUUUAGGGUAUGGAUAGGAGACAGAUUACGCUGUACGUUGGGGUAGCAUGGUAUAGCAUAACAACCAUGGGCUUUGAACCAGUAGAACUGUUUCAGCCUUAUCUCUUCUGCGAGAGAACCUCAGUUUUUGCUAUGAAAUAGGGAUGACAAUAUCUCCCUCACAGGUUACAGUGAGGAUCAAAUACUGUUACCUUCCUGAAAGUUCUUUUGACAGUGAUGGCUUAUAGUAGAUUCCCAGUCUCUGCUGACUGAGUUGGAAAGGACAGGUGGAGAACUGGAUGCAGGAAGUCAUAGCGGGCUGUGAAGUGUUCAGCACUGGUACGCAGAUCCCCGACUGGCCUAAAGGGAUAUGUGACACACUGUGUUCACCACAAGGAGUGGGGGGAGGAAUUUAACAUUUUCCCUCUAACCCAUAGAGUUUAAGGUCAGGUGUGAAAAAUUAGUGGGCCCGGAAGGCAAAGCAGGGAAGGUGGAUGUAGGUACAUGGCCUCAGAGCAAAUAAGACAUGCGGAGCUUGUGAGUCACUGAAUCUCCCAGCCAUCGAAGUCCCUCAAGUAAAAUCUCAGACCUGCUGCUAUUGUCCCACUACAACAGCAUCCUGGUAUCUUUCUUCUAUUUCUCUUAGGUCCAUGUUGCCAGAACAUCAUACCUCAUGUCUGAGCCAUGCUUUGCUGUCACAGAGCUGUCUGUAUCUGUAAACUCUACACUUCAGUGCAGUUGGAAUUCUAACUUUUACAGUUGGUUUUUCCCUUCUGGACUGUGUACUAUUUCUUUUCACUACUGUGAAUUUUCUGAAGUCGUCUAUGCCUCAAGCAGUCUAUGCCCAUCUUCAAAUUUGCUAUUUCUAAUUAACUAGCAAUCUGAAUAACAGCAAUCUGAUUUCUACCCUUCAGAAUCACAUGGAAAAUAAGCAUAAGUGGGUGAUGAUAAAAUCCCCGGUGAGCCAAGGCUCUUAUGAGCCAAGUGCCUCAGCUUUUGUGCCUGGACAUUGUAGCGUAUUUUGGCCGCUCAGAGAUCUCUUAAUGUUCUUCUUGCUUUGUGGCUGUUUUCUGGAAAGGUGACAUUGCUUAUUGUAGAGUUCUAGACAAAAUAUUAUUGAAUUGUUCUUAAUCCUCUUGUGAGAAUACAGGGAUGAUAUUACUGAUUCACUGGGCACCUGCCAUUAAGUGGAGAGAGGCAGCAUUCUGUGCUGCCUCAUUUUUCAGGACUCCCGGUGUUGAUAAGAGGCAUUCAGAAGAGCUUGAUACAGACACUAACUUAUCUAGUCUCCUUGGCAAUUGCUUGUGGAUGAAUAGGCAAGUCAAGUCCUCAUAAAGAAAGGUCAGGAUGAAGGUUAACAAAUAUAUUUUUGAGGCUGGAGACAUGAAUAAGCAGAAACUGUCAGAGGUUGAAAGGAAAAAGAAAGGGGGAAAAGGGAAUUCGGGACCAUUUUCAGACAAGAGAGGAGAAAGAGAGCAGACAAAGGAACAUAUGGGGGAGGAAGUAGAGAAAGAAUUAAUGAAUGCUGGCAUACUGACCCUCAACUGCAGCGGGAGCAGCAGGUCUAGGAAAGCGUCCCCUGACUAAGACUGAUCGCUGCACACAGACACAGCAUAUAAGGUCCAGCUCCAGGAAAGUCCUUGGAGAGAAGCACAGUGUGAUUAAGAUGCAGUUCCUGCUUAACCCAGACCUGGGAAAGUGAAGAGAAAGCAAAAGGUGAGUCAACAGGAAACUGUGAGCAAUACUGUGGCAAAGAAAGAAAGUUAAGGAGUCAGAAGGUGGAAGAGUAGUCUGAAAUAAACCGUGCAGCUUAGCAGGCUGGGGCAGAGGUAAGCAGUGGCAAAGGGAUGGAAAAUAAGGACCUCUGGUGUCGUCUGGUGAGUGUAGAAAGCCAGGCACUUGGGGGCUUGGAAUGAAGGACUCCAGAUAUUACGUUUACACAGAAGAGGCACAAAAGAGAGCUACAUUUGGGCUGGAAGGGUCUCUAGGGGAGGAAUACUGGUGAUAGGUACGGUAAGUCUUACAUGCUAAUAUUCCCCAGUGGCAUUGCAGAUUGAUUUUGCCCUUUUGCCAGGUACAGUUCUAAGACUAGGGGUCACUACCACCUCAGAUCUGAGCCACCAUCAUCCCUUGCCUGGAUUAUUUAAUAGUUUCUUAAUUGGACUCCCUGCUUCUCUUCUUAUCCUCUAAAGCCUAUUUCCAAUAGAGCAAACCAGAAUGAUCUGUUUUAAACUAUGAAACAGAUCUCUUUUGCAUAAAACCCCAUGAUGACUCCCCAUUUAACCCAGAAUAACAGCCCAAGUUCCCACAAGGAUUUGCAAGGCUUUUUGUGAUCUGCCCUCUCUGCAGCCCUAUUCCUUCUGUGAUUCCACUUCCUACAAUUCUUUCUUUUACUCACUUGGCUCCAGUUAAAUACCCCGCCCCCCUGGCUAUUCCUCAAUCCUGCCAGGUGUGCUACCCGCUGAGGGCUUUUUCUCUGGCUACUUCCUCUGCCUGGGAUGUUCUUUCCCCUAGAGAUUCACAAGGAUAACUCUGUUGCCUUUCUGGAAUCCUUGAUCAAAUAUCGUCUUCUUGGUAAUGGUAGGGAAAAAAAUCCGUUAUAAAGUGGCUGACAGGACUGAUAGGGGAAUUCCAGUCCCUGCCUGAAGACUCCCCUUCCGGGUUCUUCUUCCCACCCUGCUUGCCGUGUGUGCCAAAUUACUACUAAUGAGGAAUGCGGAGGUAACAGACUAUAAGUUGUCCCCUCCGCUAAUGUUCCUGGCCCAGACCUCUGGAGAAUGAUAUCCUUUGAGUCCACCAGUGUAAAAUAAACCUCCUGUCUUCCAGGAUCUCCGAGUGCCACUUGGUUCUUCUGCCAGGUGAUCCAGACCAGGUUCCGUAACAUUUUCAAGUCGACAAUUUGGUUGCUAAGGAGAGAAGCUUCUGUACGACUUGGAUGCCACACUGACAUUCAAGUUAACAACUUGUAGGGUGGACCAGGUCCAAUGACAUGACUUGAUUCUGGAGUGAAAAACAGUCAUCGUUGCAAUAUUAUAUAGACUGCUAGGUACAACUUCUGGAAUUCAUCAAGCAACUUCAGCCUCUGACAGAAACAUGGGAACUAAGGUGCCUAGAGGCCACCAGAAUGAACAUUUUCCUGUCAUCUGAAAGAAUGAUGCCUUACUAAUGGUGCUGCAAGUCCAUGUGGCCAUGUUGAGAGGAAAUUCAGGAAUCGAAUUAAAAAUUUUGCCUCAUUUUAAGAGAAUAUUGUUUGCCCUUAAUGCCCAUAACAUGAUUUAUUUCAGAAUUUUUUCCUUUAAACUAUGGAUGCCUGCCCAUUAUCAGCUUUAGAGAAAUGUGUUAGGCACAAUCUCCCUGGAAAUACUGAGAACAUAUGUGAUCCAAGUCUAUAGUAGUUUGGGGGAUUUAAGUUCUGCUCAGAUUUCUUGGAUGAUGGUUCUUUUCUUUAUUCUUACAAUUUCUGUUGACAUUGGCCUUUUUGUGUAAUAGGAAAAUUAAACUGGAUCUGGAAAAGAUAA